This 494-nucleotide ribosomal RNA is filed under the name uncultured bacterium. Its description in RNAcentral is "bacterial SSU rRNA". It matches the Rfam family "Bacterial small subunit ribosomal RNA", at positions 28 to 511 of the family's 1533-position model. The record is from RNAcentral.
GAUGAACGCUAGCUACAGGCUUAACACAUGCAAGUCGAGGGGCAGCAUGGUCUUAGCUUGCUAAGGCCGAUGGCGACCGGCGCACGGGUGAGUAACACGUAUCCAACCUGCCGUCUACUCUUGGACAGCCUUCUGAAAGGAAGAUUAAUACAAGAUGGCAUCAUGAGUCCGCAUGUUCACAUGAUUAAAGGUAUUCCGGUAGACGAUGGGGAUGCGUUCCAUUAGAUAGUAGGCGGGGUAACGGCCCACCUAGUCUUCGAUGGAUAGGGGUUCUGAGAGGAAGGUCCCCCACAUUGGAACUGAGACACGGUCCAAACUCCUACGGGAGGCAGCAGUGAGGAAUAUUGGUCAAUGGGCGAGAGCCUGAACCAGCCAAGUAGCGUGCAGGAUGACGGCCCUAUGGGUUGUAAACUGCUUUUAUAAGGGAAUAAAGUGGGAGUCGUGACUCUUUUUGCAUGUACCUUAUGAAUAAGGACCGGCUAAUUCCGUGCCAG